RNA transcript from Leopardus geoffroyi (Geoffroy's cat), 6584 nucleotides. It is a transcript of the gene named paraspeckle component 1, with no coding region annotated. The record is from RefSeq and is a predicted model, not a curated record. Lineage: Eukaryota; Metazoa; Chordata; Mammalia; Carnivora; Felidae. The transcript is spliced from 10 exons.
GUGGCAGCGCCAUUUUGAACGUGCAGCCGCCUCGGGCGUGAGUCCUUCGGGGUAGGGCAGCCGGCGUGGCGACCUAGGCGUCUUCUCUGACUUUGUCCUUCCAUAUUCCGUUUCUGUAGGCAUAUAUAGUGAUACAGCUAUAGAUCUAGAAUUCUGUCCGGUAUAAGUGCACUCCCUAAGAUGAUGUUAAGAGGAAACCUGAAGCAAGUACGCAUUGAGAAAAACCCGGCCCGCCUUCGCGCUCUGGAGUCUGCGGCAGGCGAGAGCGAGCCGACGGCCGCCAUGGCGCUCGCGCUGGCUGGGGAGCCGGCGCCACCUGCCCCGGUGCCCCCGGAGGACCACCCCGACGAGGAGAUGGGCUUCACCAUCGACAUCAAGAGCUUCCUCAAGCCGGGCGAGAAAACGUACACGCAGCGCUGCCGCCUCUUCGUGGGGAACUUGCCCACGGACAUCACGGAGGAGGACUUCAAGCGGCUCUUCGAGCGCUACGGCGAGCCCAGCGAGGUCUUCAUCAAUCGGGACCGUGGCUUCGGCUUCAUCCGUUUGGAAUCCAGAACACUGGCUGAAAUUGCAAAAGCAGAGCUGGAUGGCACCAUUUUGAAGAGCAGACCUCUCCGAAUUCGUUUUGCUACACAUGGAGCAGCCCUAACUGUCAAGAACCUCUCGCCGGUUGUUUCCAAUGAGCUUCUAGAGCAAGCAUUUUCCCAGUUUGGUCCAGUAGAGAAAGCCGUUGUGGUUGUGGAUGAUCGUGGUAGAGCUACAGGAAAAGGUUUUGUAGAAUUUGCAGCAAAACCUCCUGCACGAAAGGCUCUGGAAAGAUGUGGUGAUGGGGCAUUCUUGCUAACAACGACCCCUCGUCCAGUCAUUGUGGAGCCUAUGGAGCAGUUUGAUGAUGAAGAUGGCUUGCCAGAGAAGCUAAUGCAGAAAACUCAACAAUAUCAUAAGGAAAGAGAACAGCCACCACGUUUUGCUCAACCUGGGACAUUUGAAUUUGAGUAUGCAUCUCGAUGGAAGGCUCUUGACGAAAUGGAAAAGCAGCAGCGUGAACAGGUUGAUAGAAACAUCAGAGAAGCCAAAGAGAAACUGGAAGCAGAAAUGGAAGCAGCUAGGCAUGAACACCAAUUAAUGCUAAUGAGGCAAGAUCUAAUGAGGCGUCAAGAAGAACUCAGACGAUUGGAAGAACUCAGAAACCAAGAGUUGCAAAAACGGAAGCAAAUACAACUGAGACAUGAGGAAGAGCACCGUCGCCGUGAGGAAGAAAUGAUCCGACACAGAGAACAGGAGGAACUCAGGCGACAGCAAGAGGGCUUUAAGCCAAACUAUAUGGAGAAUAGAGAACAGGAAAUGAGAAUGGGUGAUAUGGGUCCCCGUGGAGCAAUAAACAUGGGAGAUGCAUUUAGCCCAGCCCCUGCUGGUAACCAAGGUCCUCCUCCAAUGAUGGGUAUGAAUAUGAACAACAGAGGAACUAUACCUGGCCCACCAAUGGGUCCUGGUCCUGCCAUGGGACCAGAAGGAGCUGCAAAUAUGGGAACUCCAAUGAUGCCAGAUAAUGGAGCAGUGGAGGGUGAAAGAAAACAUGGAUGAAGCUGCCUGAAUAUCGGCUUCUGGCAUGAAUCAAGUUCAGAGACUAGGAAAUGCUGGUGUCAGAUUCCCUUUCAGGUCAUCUUGUGGGAGAAAUGCUUUUAAAGACAGAGGAGAAACAGCCAGAAAACAGAGAUUUCAUUUGUGAAUUUAUUACUCCAUAUAAACAACUUAUGAGUAAUCGUUAACACUUGACAUUACGCCUCAUGGACCAAUUUUCCGUGGUUAAAAUACCUGGAAUGGUGCAAACUUCCACUUUCAUUCAGGUGUUGUAAGACUUCUCGCUGGCUGAUGUUGCAAAGUAGUGUGGUAGUAGCCUACGAAUACAGACAAACUUCUCCUUUCAAUUCGCUAUAAAUGGGAACUGUUAGAGGGAUUUUUUUUGGCAUCCCCUCUAGCCUGCAAUUUGGGGUCAGUCCCCAAGAUAAGGGGCUCCUCAUGAAAUUUGGCACUGUUGUGAGAAAAAUCAUGUGUUACUAAAGCCAUAUAUACAUAUUUAAGCCCAAAGAAAGCAAAGAGUAUGAGGGAAAUAGUGUGUUGUAGAAUAAUGAAAAAUUAAUUUCUUCCAAGUUAAACUGAUAUGCAGUAUUAGGCUUAGAUUCCAGCUGGGGUUCUUGGGGGCUCUGGAUGUCGGCAGAGGACUAUUUCUGGAUUUUAAUUUGGUCCUUAUUUGUGCCUCCUCACUGUAAUUAGAUUUAGCUUACUAGUAACACUUUUCUUUACUUGGAAGUAGAUGUGAGGCCUAGAAAUCCCAGUUUGGUCUGAAAGGAGAUUUAUCCGCAAGUCUGCACAGAGAAGAGGAAAGCCGUAUGGAUCCUGUGAGUGGUUCUCUGCGUUUACUUAGCCAAUAAAGUUUAAAAAGUUUACAACAGUUUUAGGAGUUUAUAUAGUAUUUAGGCUAUGAAACAUGAACUGUAUGAAAUGUUAACAUUUUCAGAAUUAUUUCACAAGUCACUUUUUGACAAUUCUGGCGUAUGUAUCCUCCUUUUCCUUGGUCUUUGCUAAUCAGUGAUCCUAAAUGACCUAUUCUCGGAGUGAAAGCAAACCAACUGUGGUUCAACAUUUGCGUCGUGUUAGGUAUUAGAGGUUUCUCUUUGGUACUAACCAUUGCGGAGAAAAGCCCGUAUAAUGUGUUUUCCGCUACAGCCAUGCUUAUUAGAGUGGGCCAGAUACGAAUGAUAUAGAAGUUCACUGAGUCAUCCAGUUAGGAUGUCCUCACUGCCAUAUGCACCAGAAAAGAGUAAAGACCGAGGGGUGAUUUUUUCUAAGAUAAAACUGAAGUAAAAAUGUGGACUAUGUGCUUUUCAGUGAUGAUGUACUUAGUGAUAUCACCCACGGCCCAGAUGAUAAAGUUUAGUUAUAUAUUCUGUGUUGUAUAUACUUUCUAAGAAGAUUGCUUUGGUUUUGACCUGCAGUACCUAAGCAGGUCUGUAAACCUUUUGGUUAAGCUGCCGCUUGAGAAUUGCUUUGUUUUCCAGAGAAACCAAGGCUCACGCUUUGUACAUACUUUAUUUGAAUAAUCAAAGUAGCAGCAUUAUUAAUAUCUGACGGAAUUAUUAGCUGCCUCAUCACAGAACCAGCAAGAAACCACUCUCUCAAGUGCGAGUCUCAAGACAAUUCAAGUCUCCUUCAUCCUUAAGAAACCAAAAUGGACAAGUGUGCUUUUCAUUUGGCUCCAGAGAAGCUAUAGCUGAGGCGCCGGGGGGACUCGGUCAGUGAAGCAUCUGCUCUUGAUCUCGGCUCAGGUCAUGAUCUCACGUUCGAGAGUCUGAGCCCCGUGUCUGUCAGCGCAGAGCCUGCUUGGGAGUGUCCUUCCAUGUCUCUGCCCCUCCCUCUCUCUCAAAAGAACAACAACAAAGCUGUAAUUUAGAGCAAAAUGUAUUAAGUUGUGUGGCUGUACCUUCUAUUCCUGGUAGACACAACUGUUUACAGAAUUUACUAGCACGUCUGGCACAAAGCUGAGAUGGACGACUCAAAGGUGGUGUUACUCCAAGUAAGCUCAAACUUUGUCUUCCUUCCCUGACCCCGCUUCUGUCAAAAUAACUUGCCACUUUUCCUAUAAUUAAGUUUCAUCUGUUAAAGAUUUUUUUUUUUUUUCCUCCUUGCUGACUUCUAACAGCUUUCACCCUUCUGAGCCUAAACUCCUACUGAAGGAAUUACUCGUUGUUCUACUUGGUUUCUAGCCUGGCCUUACCUCUUGGAUCAACAGUACAUCACCUUGUAAUAAUGUGCGCUUAUAAAGAUGAUGAUGGAGGUCUUCAGCAUGAUUUUGAGAGAACAAAUUUUCUUUAAAAACCCAUUUCUCUUAAGUGUGUUUUAGAUUAAGGUACUGUCUCCCUUGCUGUUCCUGACCUAUCCACUGCUGCUCGGUCUUGUGAUUUUUCUAGAAAGUACUAGAUACAGUACUAGUGCAUGAUUCAAUAUAGCUGAAAAAAUUCCAAUCCCAGCUGUCAUUUAGUUAAAAAUAUUACACAUUAGUGUCCACCUUGAAGUCUUGAGACUUGAGAUACAAAGAAAAUAGACCAACAUUGUGGUAUUUUAUUGAGAAAACUGUAGGAAAAGGCCGUUUUAGUACUGUAAAGUAAAAACGGCUCUCUCAAAUAUCUGUACAAUGUGGUCAAAUAUGCGACCUUUUGAAAAAUUUUCAUUAAAAUUGUAAUUCAAACAAUUAUAAAACCAAUCAGGAACUAAAUAAUUUUAUACAUCUAUGUAGUCCAGAUGGAGUUUGACUUACUAGUUUGCCAAAUAUUUCUUAAGAGAAUUUAAGACCUGUGGGGAAUCUGUAGAGACGAUAGCUCUUCCCAUGAGGCCCAGUGUGGCGGACAAACCUCGGCUGCCUUCCCAGCGUUCGUAACAAGGGCACAGGAUCUGCUUUUUAAAAAUUACUUGAUGGAUUCUAAGAACAAGGAUAAAAGUUAGUUCAUGAGUCGUAUCUUCUUUUAUCUUUUCCCGGAAUAAAGGGUAACUGCAAAUACAAAAAGUUGUCACCUCCAAUUCAGGACCUGUGGCAACUGCAGAUUAGACAUCACACCGCCUCCCUCGAACCUGCCUACCAAGUGAGAGAAGUCAUCCUUCAAGGCCAGCAAAUUCGCCCCUUAUUUAGUGCUUGGCAUACACAGACUUGUUUUUAAUGCAGAAAUUCACCAGGGCUAGUAGAAAAUUUCAAGUUAGAAAAGAGACUUUUAAUUUUCUUAAAUAAUUCUAUGUACCAUUCCACAUUGUGGAAAAACCGAAGUAUGCAGUCUGGAGACAACAUCGAGAUUUGAGAACACUGGCACAAAUACAUCGCUAUUUCAGAAUAUAUUAGAACCCCCACGUCCCAUCUUACAGCCCGUAACAGAUACCCAGCCCGAAACUGCAAGAGGUUUACAGAUGAAACUUCAAAUCUGGAGGUGUUAGCUGUGCCAGGGUCCUAAACAGGUCUGGAAAGGACUCCGUCCCGACUGUUCCGUCACUGCAGCUGCACCCUGUAUGCGCCUAUCAGCAACUUCACCUGUUGAAAGAAAAGAAGCAACGUAGCAGCACCAACACCUCUGCCGAGCCCCCCUUUCUUAGAGGAGGGAAAACGCGCGCGCGCGCGGCCGAGAGUUCUUAUUUGGCAAUGUUCUCAAAUUGAUUAUCAAUUCAAGUGUUAGGUUAUCACUUUUAAUAAAUCCAAGUGCUUAAAGUUAUUAUAGUAAAUAACUACCACUUAUUACAUAGACUUUUUUGGUUCAUCUUCAUUUUACAAAGAAAUGUUUAGUGAGCAGCCUAUGAGACAUACAUAUGGCCAUUAAAUAACAGCCUAGAAUACAACUGCGGCUGCUCCGUACUGGAGAGAUGCAUUCUUCUCAUCUUUCCACACAAUUUAUGACACACAAUUAUGUCUAACACAUUGUAUUUUUUUUUUUUUUUCCCCCUUUAAGAAGGCUUCACAUCCAGCGUGGAGCCCAAUGUGGGGCUUGUGAACUCAACGACCACUGGAUGCUUAGGGACACCUGGGUAGCUUUGUUGGUUGAGCACCUACUUUGGCUCAGGUCAUGAUCUCACGGUUCGUGAGACUGAGCCCCACAUUGGGCUUGCUGCUGGAAUAGCAAUGUGAGUAGUUGCACUAAAUGUGAGGAAAGGAUUGUCACCUUGGCAGAAGGCGCUUCCGUCAACCUUAUGAAGAGUUUAUUGAGGCCUGUAGCAGGGCUGAACGAGUAAACAAAAUGGCUAUCCUAGAGAGAAAGACCACAGUCAGUGUUUCCUCAAACUUCUACGUCUAAGAGUAUCACUGUAGCUUAAGAGAACAAAAACCUUUCAGACUCCCAGUGACGUAGAAGAGAAUACCAGUUUGUAUUUUAAUUUAUAUAAAGCAAUUUCCUGUGACUACUUUCCCCUUGAUUUAUUAAAAAGAUACGAAUGACAAAAAAGCUUGUUAAGAUUUAUCUGCAAAAAAACAAUACUCAGAUAAAUCUUUAGGAUUAGCAUGUAUCCAGCCAUAUAGAGCCUGAGUGUUAAAAAAUCUUCAUAACCAGUUAAUUUUGCUGAAUUCAGCCUAAGGAAAGAAUUCUACCUGUGGAAAAGGAAACAUACACAAAGAUUCUUCAAGACCAUUUUUUUAUGUUAAAAAAUGUAUAUAGCCACUAAUAGAUUUGUUAUUAUAAAGCAAAAUUACAGUACAAUGCUUGCCUAAAGCUCAGCCUAAGAACACCCAUGUUAUACUAGUGGUUGUGUUUCUGGGUAUUUGAAGAACAGAAUCCUUUUAAGAUUUCCAAAUUUUUCUUUAAGUGAAUGUUUGUAAUGAUAACGGUGGGAAAAGGCAGAGUAUUUUAAAAUCAUUAUGUUUCUUCUACCUUAAGGAUUUCUAAGACGUGGUAAAUGUAACUUAAGGCAUAUAUAUCAAACAUUUAGAAAUCCAGACUUAUAUUGACAAAAUGCGGGACAAUUUUACUUUAUGAUUAUGGGUUAUUGCCUCAUUUCCAAGUGGUUUACUAAAUUAAAAUUAACGUACUUUAUUUAAAACAGCAAUUUAAACGUCA